ACAGGUUCAUGUUGCUGAGAAUCAUCUGUACUAGAGACAUGAUUAGCAACUACAGUAUAUGAUUUUAGCUCAGGGCCUGGUGGAUAUCCAUCUUUCUUAUAACAUGCAUCAAUAGUAUGUCAAGGCUUGCCACAAUAUGUGCAAAGCCUAUUAUCUCUAGCAGAAACAGAAGAGGACUAGAAAAUUGUCUAGUAGGAUUGUAUG
RNAcentral lists this unclassified non-coding RNA (204 nucleotides) under Hevea brasiliensis (rubber tree). The record is from RNAcentral. Lineage: Eukaryota; Viridiplantae; Streptophyta; Magnoliopsida; Malpighiales; Euphorbiaceae.